Molecule: ribosomal RNA, 632 nt
Filed under: Pandoraea sp. IBa387
Lineage: Bacteria; Pseudomonadati; Pseudomonadota; Betaproteobacteria; Burkholderiales; Burkholderiaceae
Description: bacterial SSU rRNA
Rfam family: Bacterial small subunit ribosomal RNA
Source: RNAcentral
CCUGAUCCAGCAAUGCCGCGUGUGUGAAGAAGGCCUUCGGGUUGUAAAGCACUUUUGUCCGGAAAGAAAUCCUCGGGGUUAAUACCUCGGGGGGAUGACGGUACCGGAAGAAUAAGCACCGGCUAACUACGUGCCAGCAGCCGCGGUAAUACGUAGGGUGCAAGCGUUAAUCGGAAUUACUGGGCGUAAAGCGUGCGCAGGCGGUUUUGUAAGACGGAUGUGAAAUCCCCGGGCUUAACCUGGGAACUGCAUUGGUGACUGCAAGGCUAGAGUAUGGCAGAGGGGGGUAGAAUUCCACGUGUAGCAGUGAAAUGCGUAGAGAUGUGGAGGAAUACCGAUGGCGAAGGCAGCCCCCUGGGCCAAUACUGACGCUCAUGCACGAAAGCGUGGGGAGCAAACAGGAUUAGAUACCCUGGUAGUCCACGCCCUAAACGAUGUCAACUAGUUGUUGGGGAUUCAUUUCCUUAGUAACGUAGCUAACGCGUGAAGUUGACCGCCUGGGGAGUACGGUCGCAAGAUUAAAACUCAAAGGAAUUGACGGGGACCCGCACAAGCGGUGGAUGAUGUGGAUUAAUUCGAUGCAACGCGAAAAACCUUACCUACCCUUGACAUGUACGGAAUCCUGCUGAGAG